RNAcentral lists this ribosomal RNA (837 nucleotides) under uncultured bacterium. RNAcentral's name for it is "bacterial SSU rRNA". It matches the Rfam family "Bacterial small subunit ribosomal RNA", at positions 41 to 874 of the family's 1533-position model. The record is from RNAcentral.
GGCGUGCCUAACACAUGCAAGUCGAACGGUAACAGGUCUUCGGAUGCUGACGAGUGGCGCACGGGUGAGUAACGCGUGGAUAUCUGCCUAUUAGUGGGGGACAACUUGUGGAAACGCAAGCUAAUACCGCAUAAUCCCUACGGGGGAAAGCAGGGGACCUUCGGGCCUUGUGCUGAUAGAUGAGUCCGCGUCUGAUUAGCUAGUUGGUAGGGUAAAGGCCUACCAAGGCGAUGAUCAGUAUCUGGUUUGAGAGGAUGAUCAGACACACUGGAACUGAGACACGGUCCAGACUCCUACGGGAGGCAGCAGUGGGGAAUAUUGCACAAUGGGGGAAACCCUGAUGCAGCGACGCCGCGUGUGGGAAGAAGGCUUUCGGGUUGUAAACCACUUUCAAUUGGGAAGAAGAGAUGAGUGUUAAUAACAUUCUGAUUUGACGGUACCUUUAGAAGAAGCACCGGCUAAUUUCGUGCCAGCAGCCGCGGUAAUACGAAAGGUGCAAGCGUUGUUCGGAUUUACUGGGCGUAAAGAGAGUGUAGGUUGUUUAUUAAGUCGGAUGUGAAAUCCCGGGGCUCAACCUCGGAACUGCAUUCGAUACUGGUAGACUAGAGUUCGGGAGGGGUAAGCGGAAUUCCGCGUGUAGCAGUGAAAUGCGUAGAUAUGCGGAGGAACACCUGAGGCGAAGGCGGCUUACUGGACCGAUACUGACACUGAGACUCGAAAGCGUGGGUAGCAAACAGGAUUAGAUACCCUGGUAGUCCACGCCCUAAACGAUGUCAACUAGCCGUUGCGGGUAUCGACCCCUGCAGUGGCGAAGCUAACGCGAUAAGUUGACCGCCU